GACGAACGCUGGCGGCGUGCUUAACACAUGCAAGUCGAACGCUGAAGCUUGGUGCUUGCACUGGGUGGAUGAGUGGCGAACGGGUGAGUAAUACGUGAGUAACCUGCCCUUGACUCUGGGAUAAGCCUGGGAAACUGGGUCUAAUACUGGAUACGACAUGUCACCGCAUGGUGGUGUGUGGAAAGGGUUUUACUGGUUUUGGAUGGGCUCACGGCCUAUCAGCUUGUUGGUGGGGUAAUGGCUCACCAAGGCGACGACGGGUAGCCGGCCUGAGAGGGUGACCGGCCACACUGGGACUGAGACACGGCCCAGACUCCUACGGGAGGCAGCAGUGGGGAAUAUUGCACAAUGGGCGGAAGCCUGAUGCAGCGACGCCGCGUGAGGGAUGACGGCCUUCGGGUUGUAAACUUCUUUCAGCAAGGAAGAAGCGAAAGUGACGGUACGUGCAGAAGAAGCGCCGGCUAACUACGUG
Molecule: ribosomal RNA, 472 nt
Filed under: uncultured bacterium
Lineage: Bacteria
Description: partial 16S ribosomal RNA
Rfam family: Bacterial small subunit ribosomal RNA
Source: RNAcentral